Molecule: ribosomal RNA, 315 nt
Filed under: Triticum aestivum (bread wheat)
Lineage: Eukaryota; Viridiplantae; Streptophyta; Magnoliopsida; Poales; Poaceae
Description: partial small subunit ribosomal RNA
Source: RNAcentral
AUGUCAGAGAGCGAGACCCUAGAUGCGUUCGCCGGCAGGCUCGGAGGCAUGGCGGCGCGCUACGCGGCGCUGGGCUCGACCCUAGAGGACGCGGCGCUCGUCAAGAAACUGCUCGACUCGGUGCCGUACCGCCUGUACGCGGCGGUGGUCGGGAUCGAGCAGUUCUGUGAUGUCUCGACGAUGCUCUUCGAGGAUGCGCCGGGUCGUCUGAAGGCGUUCGAUGAGCGGCUUCGACGACGCGGGCAGGCAGGCGGCGAGCGCGCGGAUGGGCAACUACUGUACAUUGCGGCACAGUGGCGGGCGCGCGAGCGGCGU